Molecule: ribosomal RNA, 354 nt
Filed under: uncultured Gardnerella sp.
Lineage: Bacteria; Bacillati; Actinomycetota; Actinomycetes; Bifidobacteriales; Bifidobacteriaceae
Description: bacterial SSU rRNA
Rfam family: Bacterial small subunit ribosomal RNA
Source: RNAcentral
UAAUGCUGGAUGCUCCAACUUGACGCAUGUCUUGUUGGGGAAAGUGUUUAGUGGCAUGGGGAUGGGGGUCGCGUCCUAUCAGCUUGUAGGCGGGGUAAUGGCCCACCUAGGCUUCGACGGGUAGCCGGCCUGAGAGGGCGGACGGCCACAUUGGGACUGAGAUACGGCCCAGACUCCUACGGGGAGGCAGCAGUGGGGAAUAUUGCGCAAUGGGGAAACCCUGACGCAGCGACGCCGCGUGCGGGAUGAAGGCCUUCGGGUUGUAAACCGCUUUUGAUUGGGGAGCAAGCCUUUUUGGUGAGUGUACCUUUCGAAUAAGCGCCGGCUAACUACGUGCCAGCAGCCGCGGUAAAU